UGAACACGGAUACUCAGACACAUACCCU
Molecule: non-coding RNA, 28 nt
Filed under: Mus musculus (house mouse)
Lineage: Eukaryota; Metazoa; Chordata; Mammalia; Rodentia; Muridae
Source: RNAcentral